This 1549-nucleotide ribosomal RNA is filed under the name Enterobacter ludwigii. RNAcentral describes it as "bacterial SSU rRNA". It matches the Rfam family "Bacterial small subunit ribosomal RNA". The record is from RNAcentral. Lineage: Bacteria; Pseudomonadati; Pseudomonadota; Gammaproteobacteria; Enterobacterales; Enterobacteriaceae.
AAAUUGAAGAGUUUGAUCAUGGCUCAGAUUGAACGCUGGCGGCAGGCCUAACACAUGCAAGUCGAACGGUAGCACAGAGAGCUUGCUCUCGGGUGACGAGUGGCGGACGGGUGAGUAAUGUCUGGGAAACUGCCUGAUGGAGGGGGAUAACUACUGGAAACGGUAGCUAAUACCGCAUAACGUCGCAAGACCAAAGAGGGGGACCUUCGGGCCUCUUGCCAUCAGAUGUGCCCAGAUGGGAUUAGCUAGUAGGUGGGGUAACGGCUCACCUAGGCGACGAUCCCUAGCUGGUCUGAGAGGAUGACCAGCCACACUGGAACUGAGACACGGUCCAGACUCCUACGGGAGGCAGCAGUGGGGAAUAUUGCACAAUGGGCGCAAGCCUGAUGCAGCCAUGCCGCGUGUAUGAAGAAGGCCUUCGGGUUGUAAAGUACUUUCAGCGGGGAGGAAGGUGUUGUGGUUAAUAACCACAGCAAUUGACGUUACCCGCAGAAGAAGCACCGGCUAACUCCGUGCCAGCAGCCGCGGUAAUACGGAGGGUGCAAGCGUUAAUCGGAAUUACUGGGCGUAAAGCGCACGCAGGCGGUCUGUCAAGUCGGAUGUGAAAUCCCCGGGCUCAACCUGGGAACUGCAUUCGAAACUGGCAGGCUAGAGUCUUGUAGAGGGGGUAGAAUUCCAGGUGUAGCGGUGAAAUGCGUAGAGAUCUGGAGGAAUACCGGUGGCGAAGGCGGCCCCCUGGACAAAGACUGACGCUCAGGUGCGAAAGCGUGGGGAGCAAACAGGAUUAGAUACCCUGGUAGUCCACGCCGUAAACGAUGUCGACUUGGAGGUUGUGCCCUUGAGGCGUGGCUUCCGGAGCUAACGCGUUAAGUCGACCGCCUGGGGAGUACGGCCGCAAGGUUAAAACUCAAAUGAAUUGACGGGGGCCCGCACAAGCGGUGGAGCAUGUGGUUUAAUUCGAUGCAACGCGAAGAACCUUACCUACUCUUGACAUCCAGAGAACUUUCCAGAGAUGGAUUGGUGCCUUCGGGAACUCUGAGACAGGUGCUGCAUGGCUGUCGUCAGCUCGUGUUGUGAAAUGUUGGGUUAAGUCCCGCAACGAGCGCAACCCUUAUCCUUUGUUGCCAGCGGUCCGGCCGGGAACUCAAAGGAGACUGCCAGUGAUAAACUGGAGGAAGGUGGGGAUGACGUCAAGUCAUCAUGGCCCUUACGAGUAGGGCUACACACGUGCUACAAUGGCGCAUACAAAGAGAAGCGAACUCGCGAGAGCAAGCGGACCUCAUAAAGUGCGUCGUAGUCCGGAUUGGAGUCUGCAACUCGACUCCAUGAAGUCGGAAUCGCUAGUAAUCGUAGAUCAGAAUGCUACGGUGAAUACGUUCCCGGGCCUUGUACACACCGCCCGUCACACCAUGGGAGUGGGUUGCAAAAGAAGUAGGUAGCUUAACCUUCGGGAGGGCGCUUACCACUUUGUGAUUCAUGACUGGGGUGAAGUCGUAACAAGGUAACCGUAGGGGAACCUGCGGUUGGAUCACCUCCUUACCUUAAAGAA